This 492-nucleotide ribosomal RNA is filed under the name uncultured bacterium. RNAcentral's name for it is "partial 16S ribosomal RNA". It matches the Rfam family "Bacterial small subunit ribosomal RNA", at positions 29 to 507 of the family's 1533-position model. The record is from RNAcentral.
AGUGAACGCUGGCGGUAGGCCUAACACAUGCAAGUCGAACGGCAGCACAGUAAGAGCUUGCUCUUACGGGUGGCGAGUGGCGGACGGGUGAGGAAUACAUCGGAAUCUACUUUUUCGUGGGGGAUAACGUAGGGAAACUUACGCUAAUACCGCAUACGACCUACGUGUGAAAGCAGGGGAUCUUCGGACCUUGCUCGAUUGAAUGAGCCGAUGUCGGAUUAGCUAGUUGGCGGGGUAAAGGCCCACCAAGGCGACGAUCCGUAGCUGGUCUGAGAGGAUGUACAGCCACACUGGAACUGAGACACGGUCAAGACUCCUACGGGAGGCAGCAGUGGGGAAUAUUGGACAAUGGGCGCAAGCCUGAUCCAGCCAUACCGCGUGGGUGAAGAAGGCCUUCGGGUUGUAAAGCCCUUUUGUUGGGAAAGAAAAGCAGCAGGUUAAUACCCCGCUGUUCUGACGGUACCCAAAGAAUAAGCACCGGCUAACUUCGUG